Molecule: ribosomal RNA, 253 nt
Filed under: uncultured bacterium
Lineage: Bacteria
Description: partial 16S ribosomal RNA
Rfam family: Bacterial small subunit ribosomal RNA
Source: RNAcentral
UACGUAGGUGGCAAGCGUUGUCCGGAAUUAUUGGGCGUAAAGCGCGCGCAGGUGGUUGAAUAAGUCUGAUGUAAAAGCCCAUGGCUCAACCAUGGAAGGUCAUUGGAAACUGUUAAACUUGAGUGCAGGAGAGAAAAGUGGAACUCCUAGUGUAGCGGUGAAAUGCGUAGAGAUUAGGAGGAACACCAGUGGCGAAGGCGGCUUUUUGGCCUGCAACUGACGCUGAGGCGCGAAAGCGUGGGGAGCAAACAGG